AUUGAACGCUGGCGGCAGGCCUAACACAUGCAAGUCGGACGGUAGCACAGAGGAGCUUGCUCCUCGGGUGACGAGUGGCGGACGGGUGAGUAAUGUCUGGGGAUCUGCCCGAUAGAGGGGGAUAACCACUGGAAACGGUGGCUAAUACCGCAUAACGUCGCAAGACCAAAUAGGGGGACCUUCGGGCCUCCCACUAUCGGAUGAACCCAGAUGGGAUUAGCUAGUAGGCGGGGUAACGGCCCACCUAGGCGACGAUCCCUAGCUGGUCUGAGAGGAUGACCAGCCACACUGGAACUGAGACACGGUCCAGACUCCUACGGGAGGCAGCAGUGGGGAAUAUUGCACAAUGGGCGCAAGCCUGAUGCAGCCAUGCCGCGUGUAUGAAGAAGGCCUUCGGGUUGUAAAGUACUUUCAGCGGGGAGGAAGGCGAUAAGGUUAAUAACCUUGUCGAUUGACGUUACCCGCAGAAGAAGCACCGGCUAACUCCGUGCCAGCCGCCGCCGUAA
RNAcentral lists this ribosomal RNA (506 nucleotides) under uncultured bacterium. RNAcentral describes it as "partial 16S ribosomal RNA". It matches the Rfam family "Bacterial small subunit ribosomal RNA", at positions 30 to 523 of the family's 1533-position model. The record is from RNAcentral.